Molecule: long non-coding RNA, 318 nt
Filed under: Homo sapiens (human)
Lineage: Eukaryota; Metazoa; Chordata; Mammalia; Primates; Hominidae
Description: HSALNT0332717
Source: RNAcentral
GGAGCUGUGAACAUGAGGAUGUGAACCUGAGUAAGACGGAUCUCUACCCAAAGGAGCAUGGUCUAAUAAACAGAGAAGGCUCAGGAGGGUCAGAAACACGGUGCCUCAUUUCUCAGCCUACUUGCCAAGAAUUCCCAAAAAGGAAGCACUGGAGGAUCAUUCCAAGGCUUGAGGUCCAGGACUACCCACUUCCCUUGGAAUGGUGUUGCCAUCACUGUUCUGGCACCGGAGAAAGGAUUCUACAUCGUUAGGAGAAAAGAAAAAGGAGAAUUUGGGCUUGCACUGAGAGGAUUACCUUUGGUGGUCUGGAAGUGGUGG